Molecule: long non-coding RNA, 2238 nt
Organism: Carassius gibelio (silver crucian carp)
Lineage: Eukaryota; Metazoa; Chordata; Actinopteri; Cypriniformes; Cyprinidae
Exons: 11
Source: RefSeq, a predicted model, not a curated record
CCUCCACAGCCUUCAAGCGAAACAUAACCCAGACAGCACAUGUACGUCUGGCCGACGUCGGCCCAAUAUCUAAACGUCGGCCUCUAUACCUAAAACAUCUAUAAAACAUCGGCCUGGCGAAGGCCGAUAUAAUUUGGUCAGUGCUCUGUUCUCCAGCUCAUCAAUCGUCGGCCCUGAGUUGGUUCACGACCGCGGGCCGAUGCCGCGCUUCUCUGUGUGCGCGUGCCCAGUAUUCGUCUCUUUUAGCCACCCAGAGAGAGAGAAGAGGAUAAUCCCAGCGACAUCUGUGGCUCUCAGGCUUUCAGAAAUAAUCCGGUGAAAUAAUAUGAUGUUUGUGUAAAUGCUGUGUGUGCGUUGAGUCCUGCGCGAGCGGGGAGCAGAGUUGCCAUGGAAACGGGGCAUCAACACAAAAACCGUUACUGGCAAGCAGUAAUCUCCGUCUCUCGCUGCGGUUUACACUGUUUUGGAAACGGUUUAGUGUCUUCGGAAAAGUCCGUUAUAAUUUUAGCAGUUUUCAGAUGUUUGUUUGUGUAAAUGCUGUGUGCGCGUUGAGUCCUGCGCGAGCGGGGAGCAGAGUUGCCAUGGAAACGGGGCGUCAACACAAAAACCGUUACUGGCAAGCAAUAAUCUCCGUCUCUCGCUGCGGUUUACACUGUUUUAGAAAUGGUUUAGUGUCUUCGAAAAAGUCCGUUAGCAUCUUAGCAGUUUUCAGGAGGACAGAAAGAAACUCUACAGAACAGAAGUGAAGCUCCAAGAUUUCAACAUUUCUGAAGGGAGAUUCUGACUUAGAAAUACAGGUGACCUGAAGAAGCUCAUGAAAUACAUUAAUAUGCCUUUUUCAGAAUACAUUUCACCAAUUUUAAGAAGUCCCUGACAUCAUAACCUUGUUUCCUUCUAAUGAACCUGGAACUGCAGAGUAAAUAUUGUUGACUCUGUGUCAGAUUGCUUGUUUUGUUCCUGGACUCUUCAGUGAUGAUGAGCAGAGUCUGAGUGAACCUGCUGUCAGACAGGUUGGCCUGAUUGACGAUGCCAUCGUCCAUCGCCGAUGGCUGAUAGACAUCACGAUGCUGCGCCGGAAACAGCGUCAUCAGCUCCAGUAUCUCGCCCGUGCAUCCGUUGUCAUGCAACAGAGAAGUCACGUUCUAUAGACAGUUUCUAUAGACAGUUGUGAACGUGCUGACAGCUGGUUGCCCAGGCUAUGGAUUAAAGGUAAUACUGUUGGCCAGCAGAGCCCUGCUCACCCUGACGGCCCACCGCUGCUGUCAGACAACAUCUCCAAGAUGCUAUAAACUGCAGGACUAGAUGGCCAUCCCAAGGUUUCUAGAGAUUACAGCAGCUCCAGACUGAAUCCAAACUCACUUUUGAAGACUUCAGAUGACACCAACGCUCACAAAGACUACAGACGACAACUGUACAUGAACACACAAAACAUUGGACACACAAAACAAAUAUUAUCCUUAUUUUGCCUAUAAGGGUAAAUUUGAUGAUUUUCAAACUGCUUUAUUGUAACGUCUCUUUUAUUUGUAAAUGAUCAAUAUUUACUCUCUGAGUUAUGUGGACCUACAUGUCCCCUUUUAUUUGUAAGCAUCACUUUAAAAAUGUUGAAAGAUAAUGUUAAUGUUAACUGAAUACAAAACUAGAGACUUGUUUAGUAAGAUUUUAUCAGAAAAUAUUUUUGAACUUUUAUCAUGCAAUUUAAAACAUUUUAAUUGCUUAAUUAGUAUUGUUUGCCUGGUUUUAUUUUGUGUUUAUGUAACUCUUUUUAAAAAGUUCUUGGCAUAAAGUUCGCAUGUGAUGCUGACAGCACUGAACACAUGACUUUUUAUUAUGAACUAGAUGGUCUUCCCAGUGAGUCUCAGUCAUCUCUGGCUUUUUAAACUGUAACCUUGAAACAUGCAUUUCCUGUAAACCUACUUUGAAAUAAGUAUUGUCAAAAGGUGCUAUACUCAUACAACAUUUAACCAUGCAAGGACUGUAGUAAUGGUUAUUUUUGUUUUUACUAUGGGUUUACUGCAAAAGCUGUAGUAAAAUCAUGGUGAUUGUAGUAAAACUAUGGUUGAUUUUGUUUUUUCUAUGGUUUCACUGCAAAAGCUGUAGUAAAAUCAUGGUUAAUGUUCAAAAGACUACAAAUAAUCCCGAAUUAUCCACUUUUGAUCAAAGCAUCUGGUAAAUGUUAAUGUAUUUGUACAUGUAAUAUGAAAUAAAUGAAAAUAUUAAUAAAGUUGCAUCUGUUCUUGA